RNAcentral lists this ribosomal RNA (111 nucleotides) under Vibrio mediterranei. Lineage: Bacteria; Pseudomonadati; Pseudomonadota; Gammaproteobacteria; Vibrionales; Vibrionaceae. The record is from RNAcentral. RNAcentral also lists the same sequence under 3 other names.
UGGCGACCAUAGCGUUGUGGACCCACCUGACUCCAUGCCGAACUCAGAAGUGAAACGCAAUAGCGCCGAUGGUAGUGUGGGGCUUCCCCAUGUGAGAGUAGGACAUCGCCA